Molecule: ribosomal RNA, 253 nt
Filed under: uncultured bacterium
Lineage: Bacteria
Description: partial 16S ribosomal RNA
Rfam family: Bacterial small subunit ribosomal RNA
Source: RNAcentral
UACGGAAUGUGCAAACGUUAUUCGGAAUCACUGGGCUUAAAGAGUCCGUAGGCGGCAUGUUAGGUGAGGUGUGAAAUCCCCCGGCUCAACCGGGGAAUUGCACAGGAUACUGUCGGGCUAGAGUACAGGAGGGGAGAGCGGAAUUCCUGGUGGAGCGGUGAAAUGCGUAGAUAUCAGGAGGAACGCCAGUGGCGAAAGCGGCUCUCUGGUCUGUUACUGACGCUGAGGUGCGAAAGCUAGGGGAGCAAACGGG